Oryzias javanicus (javanese ricefish) is the source of this 134-nucleotide small nucleolar RNA. NCBI's taxonomy places the organism in Eukaryota, Metazoa, Chordata, Actinopteri, Beloniformes, Adrianichthyidae. The record is from Ensembl.
CUGCAUCUUUGACAGCCUGGACUCUUACUUUUUAAGAGAUGCUGGGUUUUAAUUUGUAGAUGCUAAAUUAAAUGUCCCCGCGCUUUCUGCUCGCCUUGUCUGUGGCGUCCCAGAUUGAAGAGGGGAGGACAGUU